GGAUGUGAGGUCAAUCUGGCACAACAUCUGUUACCUAAUUGAUCACCAGGGUGAAUUCAGCUGAUGUGGCUGGUAGGGAGGUGUCCUCUUCCUCCCUCAUCAUUCCAGGUAUGUUCCUCCUGAAACUGUGUGCUGGGUCAAGGAGGACUACCUUCCAGAAUAGACCAGUCUUUGGUCAAAGUAUAUGAGUAGCUGGACUUCCCUGCUAGAACCUCCAAACAAGCUUUCAAAUUCAUGGCCACUUUUCCCCAUUGGACUCUUAUUUAUAAUUGUUUUUACACACACACACACACACACACACACACACACACACACACACACACACACAGUAUUGU
This 335-nucleotide small nuclear RNA is filed under the name Rattus norvegicus (Norway rat). Its description in RNAcentral is "7SK RNA". The stretch from base 1 to 277 matches the Rfam family "7SK RNA". From Rfam's summary of the family: 7SK was discovered as an abundant small nuclear RNA in the mid-70s but a possible function has only recently been suggested. Two independent studies have found that 7SK RNA binds the CDK9/cyclin T complex (known as elongation factor P-TEFb). Lineage: Eukaryota; Metazoa; Chordata; Mammalia; Rodentia; Muridae. The record is from Rfam by way of RNAcentral.